AUUGAACGCUGGCGGCAUGCCUAACACAUGCAAGUCGAGCGGAAACAGGCAGCUUGCUCCUGGCUUCUGCGGCAGGCGGGUGUGUUACACCUAGGAGUCUGCCGGGGAGGGGGGGAUCACAUCCGGAGAUGGGCUCUUAUACCGCAUACGUUGUGGGGGAGAGCGGGGGGGAUCGUCGCACCGCAUGCCAUCAGAUGAGUCUAGGUCCGAUUAGCUAGUUGGGGGGGUAAAGGCCUACCAAGGCGACGAUCCGUAGCUGGUCUGAGAGGAUGAUCAGUCACACUGGAACUGAGACACGGCCCAGACUCCUACGGGAGGCAGCAGUGGGGAAUAUUGGACAAUGGGCGAAAGCCUGAUCCAGCAAUGCCGCGUGUGUGAAGAAGGUCUUCGGAUUGUAAAGCGCUUUUAGUCGGGAGGAAAAGGAGUUGGCUAAUACCUGGCGGUGUUGACGGUACCGAAAGAAUAAGCACCGGCUAACUACGUG
This 484-nucleotide ribosomal RNA is filed under the name uncultured bacterium. RNAcentral's name for it is "partial 16S ribosomal RNA". It matches the Rfam family "Bacterial small subunit ribosomal RNA", at positions 30 to 507 of the family's 1533-position model. The record is from RNAcentral.